Molecule: non-coding RNA, 99 nt
Organism: Acanthosepion pharaonis
Lineage: Eukaryota; Metazoa; Mollusca; Cephalopoda; Sepiida; Sepiidae
Source: the annotation of a GenBank genome assembly
ACUGAAACACUGGUUCCUGUACAAUCACCAAAGUUAAACAAUCUUGAACCUGGUCAGUACCUAAAUGGGUGACCACUUGGGAAUACCAAGUACUGUAGG